Long non-coding RNA from Trachemys scripta elegans, 2603 nucleotides. RefSeq lists it as uncharacterized. The transcript is spliced from 4 exons. Lineage: Eukaryota; Metazoa; Chordata; Testudines; Emydidae. The record is from RefSeq and is a predicted model, not a curated record.
GGGUCUGUCCGGGGGGCGAAAAAAAAGGACAAGAUCAUUCGCGAUGAUUGUUUUCCGCUGCUCCCGUGCCAAGAUGUUGUAUCACCCGAGUUUUAAACCGGAGCAUCUCUAUUUAUGAAGUUAAAUGUAGAGAUUGUCUGGCCAAAAAUUUGCUGGAUCUGGCAAGACCUAGGUGGCUCUAUGAGGUUGUGUUGCUAUUUAACCAGGUUGGGUGGGAGCUCGGAUUUUAGGAAAAGCAACAUAUGUUGUCUAUUCUGAUGGGGACUUGGGGGCCAAAAAAAGGUAGGAUCCAUCAGGCUUCCAGCGCUGGCUAGAUGUCUCUGAGAUGGUGCUGAGCAGGGAUGCACUGGCUUUGCAUUGCAAUCCGAGCAGCUGCACUUAUUCUCUAUUUAGUUAUUUUAAAAAAUGGGGAGGGGGCCCGAAAAAAAUGACCCAGGUGUUGGAGUCACAUUUUUGCAGUGCUGCUGCUCCAGCCCACAACAGGGUCUGAAUUUUUGUGUGCCCUAGGAGCUGUUACAUUCCCCCCCCCCCCCACACACACACACACAUACAGUACAGCAUGGGGCCAAAAUUUGCCAAGCUCCAUGUACUGGAUCCAGAGUUUUGCAGUGGGAGGCAUCAGCGUCCAGAAUUUUUUGCAGCAGUUUUUUGCUUGUUUUCUCUUUAGACAUUAGAAUUUGAGGGCAAAAUUUGGCUGGAUUCAGAAGAAUCCAUAUGCUGGGUCCAGGUUUUUGUAGUGCUUCUGUUCUGGAUGAUUUUUUUUUUUUUUUUUUGCAGUAGGCGUGUUUAGAUUGUUCUCUAUUUUGAGGAUACAAUUUGGAGAUUUGGGGGCUAAAGAUAUGCAGGACCCAAUUUUCCCCUGGGGGAAUACUUUGGAGUGCCAGUGCCUGCACACACAGGCAUCCACCCACGGCUUCUGGCCUCCUUCCAUGCACCACACCUAUGUCACAUCCUUAACACUCUCUUGAGAAAUGCACAACUCUCUCCAACAGACUGCAAAAGCAGAAGGCAACAAUGGAUCUGAAGGAGACUUUGAUGUCAUAAACCCAAGAUUAUGACUUCACGAUCAAGCAGCGAGAGAACCCAGGAUGAGAGAAGGAAAAUAGAACACAUUCAUCUUUGGAAACCAGCAAGGGGAAUCCAGAAAAUUAGACAAAAAAAUCUGAAUGUUUUUAAUUUCCCUCAAAAUGUCUUUGCUUCCAAGCUACUAUGCUGAUUGACAUCUGGUCUUUCUAGCUAUUCAAGUAGAAGCCAAUUGGGAUCAGAUUUAUCACUGGUGACAUCAAUAGAGUUUCACCAGAAUGACCUGGGACCUUUAUGCCUCUAGGGGGAAGAUACCUAGUGAUCUCAAAUGCAAGAGUCACAGUACUUUAUAUGCUUCUUCAUCUUCACCUACAUUAUGAAAGCUUGAUGUGUGCUUAUAUUAAUUAGCUGUUUUACCAAUGUAACAAUCUUUUAAAAUACAUUUACAUUAUCAGCAUGCCAUGGGGCCUAAUUUGCCACCCAUACGCUCGUUGAAUAAUACCUUAUUCUGUGAAUAGUUUGAAUGGACUACUACACAGGAAUAGAAGUGGCAAAAUUUGGCCCAAAGUUAACUUCAGGAACAAUCUGAUUGUAAUUAACAACAAAUGUUUGGUUUUAAUUUUGUUGUUGAUUUUUGAUAUUAGUGUUAUUUAUUCUUGUACUGCAGGAACACCUAGGAACUUCAGUCAUGAGCCAGGCCCCCCUCAUGCUGGGCAUUAUACAAACAGAACACAGAUAUGGUGUCUGCCUCAAAUAGUUUACAAUGAUAUACUGAGAAUUUGACCUUUUUUUCCCCCUUUGGCUGGAUCUUAAAUGGAGAAAAUGCGACUUUGUUUUUAUAUUAAACAAAAAAAAGUACAACUAGAUUGACAACUUGCAUGUCAGGGUUUUACCUGAUGCAGUUUGAGACAGCUGAUAUGUUACCACCCCUCUUGCAAUGAGAUUUAUAAUGGAAAUGCUGACAAGACACCUAUGUUUGGAGACGGCACCAUGCACUGCUUUAAAAACUUGUUAUGAAUGUUAAUUGGUUAUCUGAAGAGUUUUCUUUUUCCAGGUGUAGGCAGCCCAGGACACAGCCUCGGUAAUACAAUGUAACGAAUCCAUGAAAACACAGGAUGCCUAUUUCUAGGGCAUGGGCAUUGCCUCAACCUACUUCACUUAUGCUGAUGUUCCUCCCAGCUCAGCAUUUGGAACCCAACAUUCUGCAUUGAACAGUUCCACUCUGCACAUUCUCUACUGGCGCAUUUGGCUAUUCAGUGGCACAAUCGGGAUUUGCACAUGUUGAGGAUCCUGAUCCAACGUCAAUAGAGACCAGCGCAGAGAUUUCUGUUGGCUUUGGCCGCUGACCGACAAAUGAUCAAAUCUGUGCAAGUAACUGUUUUGUACUCAGUAGAAAGUGGUGGUGCGUCAUUUUCCCAGGUAAUGCACAAAUCAAAAUGAUGAGGGACCCUUAGUAUAAGAUUUCCUGUCCCUUUCAUUAGUAUUGUAGCCUCCAAAAAGAACAAACUACAUAAAAUGCACGAGUGAAGUCGGUACAAACUAAAAUUUCAUACUGAUAAUGACUUAUGCUGUUCUAUAUA